UGAAAACAGUUUGACUGCUGCUUCAAGAGACACUGAUUCAGUGUUGACUGAUUCAUGAACUACUUUGAAUAAUUGAAAAGAACCGACCACAACAUUUUGAACUGUAGUGUACCUUGUGGUGAUGGGCGUGGUUUAGCAGGGUUUGCAGCAGGAGAGAGCGGUUGGAGACAAGCAGUGAGUAAGCAGGUCAACUGCAGAACUAAAAUGAAUUACAAAAUGACAUACAAUACGUGCUGGACCUGAGAACAAAACUCCACACCUUGGGGGCGGCUAUCAGUGGAGAAUUUGUUACAGGCACAGGGUCAGCAAAGCCUGCUAUAUAACGGGGGGCCAGACUACGUCAAUUUGCACUGGGAGAAAAAGUACUUGUAUUGCUUCCUACGUCUAGCUUUAAAUUACUCGCUAAGUGGCAAGGACCCUUUUAGGUCACAAUUAUGAGGUAAUUCGUACAGACAGGAGCAGGGCACAUCAGAUUAACCACCUCAAUGGAAUCAGUGAUGCUAGUGAUGGCAGUGAGUAAGGAGGAGGAUCUCAGGCCAGAAGUGAACAUCAAACAUCAAUAUCUGGCUCUGGCCCCUGGAGGAGAUCACCUCUCGCCCCUGCAGCUCACUGAUGUAGCUAAGCUACUGACUGCUUUUGUGGAUGUGAUUUCAUUCCUGCCUGUUCAAACAGACCUCAUAUAGCACCAUAUUGAGACCAAGCCGGGAGUGGUGAUUCACCUGAACACAAAAAAAGGUGGUUCAGACGGUAUUAGAGGCGAUGCUAGCGAUGGGAGUAAUAGAGGAAUCCACAAAUAUUGGGCAAGCCCAUUAGUUUUAGUACCUAAAACGGACGGCUCUGUGCGAUUCUGUGUGGAUUAUUGCAAGGUGAAUGCUGUGUCGAAAUUCGAUGCAUAUCCAAUGCCGCGGGUCGACAAAUUGAUUGAUCAAUUUUAUUUGACAGUGGAUUUGACUAAAGGAUAUUGGCAGAUCCCCUUAUCACCUUUAUCCAAAGAAAAAACAACGUUCACAACGCCAUUUGGAUUACACCAAUUUGUUAUGCUUUCUUUCGGGUUGUUCAGGACACCGGCCAAAUUUCAGUGCCUCAUGGAGAAAAUUCUGUGGCCGCAUGCUGCAUAUGCCACUGCAUAUUUGUAUGAUAUUAUCAUCUAUAGUAAUGACUGGCAGCUGCAUAUGGAGCACUUGCGUCCAUACUGUGAGCACUGAGGGGGGUCUAGUAUCUGGGCUUCCACUUGGGUCACAGGCAGAUGCGUCCCCAAAUUAGUAAGACUGCAGCGUUUGCAACUUUCCCGAGACCCAAGACCAAAAAGGAGAUGAGGCAGUUCUCUGGGGCUGGCGGGAUAUUAUAGAAGACAGACAUAACGAACAGUGGGCUUGGAGCCAUCCUGGCCCAGGAGAUAGAGGGUGAGGAGUGGCUAGUGCUGUACAUCAAUCGUUAGCUCUCUAAGAGGGAGACGAUGUACAGCACCAUUGAAAAAGAAUGCCUGGCAAUCUGGUGGGCCAUUCUCAACCUCCGCUAUUAUCUCCGGUGCCGGGAAUUCACUCUCAGUUCAGACCACGAGCCCCUGCAGUGGCUCCACUGCAUGAAAGAUACCAAAACGCGGAUCACCCAUUGGUAUCUGGCUCUCCAUCCCUUUAAGUUCAAGGUUAUCCACAGGCCAGGAGGCAGAGAUGGCUGAAGCGAACUUCC
Long non-coding RNA from Cyprinus carpio carpio, 1689 nucleotides. Lineage: Eukaryota; Metazoa; Chordata; Actinopteri; Cypriniformes; Cyprinidae. The record is from Ensembl.